RNAcentral lists this ribosomal RNA (253 nucleotides) under uncultured bacterium. RNAcentral's name for it is "partial 16S ribosomal RNA". It matches the Rfam family "Bacterial small subunit ribosomal RNA", at positions 524 to 776 of the family's 1533-position model. The record is from RNAcentral.
UACAGAGGUCUCAAGCGUUGUUCGGAUUCAUUGGGCGUAAAGGGUGCGUAGGUGGCGCCGUAAGUCGGGUGUGAAAUUUCGGAGCUUAACUCCGAAACUGCAUUCGAUACUGCGGUGCUUGAGGACUGGAGAGGAGACUGGAAUUCAUGGUGUAGCAGUGAAAUGCGCAGAUAUCGGGAAGAACACCCGUGGCGAAGGCGGCACUCUGGGACGGUACUGACGCUGAGACGCGAAAGCGUGGGGAGCGAACAGG